UACAGAGGGUGCAAGCGUUGUUCGGAAUUAUUGGGCGUAAAGGGCGCGUAGGCGGUGCGGUAAGUCUGUAGUGAAAUCUCCGUGCUCAACACGGAGCGGCCACCUGAUACUGCUGUGACUCGAGUCCGGUAGGGGAGUGUGGAAUUCCCGGUGUAGCGGUGAAAUGCGCAGAUAUCGGGAGGAACACCAGUAGCGAAGGCGGCACUCUGGGCCGUGACUGACGCUGAGGAGCGAAAGCGUGGGUAGCAAAC
This 251-nucleotide ribosomal RNA is filed under the name uncultured bacterium. Its description in RNAcentral is "partial 16S ribosomal RNA". It matches the Rfam family "Bacterial small subunit ribosomal RNA", at positions 524 to 773 of the family's 1533-position model. The record is from RNAcentral.